This 232-nucleotide unclassified non-coding RNA is filed under the name Hevea brasiliensis (rubber tree). The record is from RNAcentral. Lineage: Eukaryota; Viridiplantae; Streptophyta; Magnoliopsida; Malpighiales; Euphorbiaceae.
GCAUUUUCAAGCUCAAACAUCAGAAAUUUAAAAAAAAAAUGAAAUGAGACAUUUUUUGGGGAUAAUUGACAAAAUAUGACUAUUCCAGUCAACGUUGGUAUGUUGGUCCAGAAUUUUAUUUUUCAAACAAUAACAGCCACGUUGAAGAUAUCAUAAUUGAAAGGUACUAGAGGCCUGCAGUUGCAUUGCUUAGCCAAAGAAAAACAUACCCUGUUCUCUUAAGGGGUGGCCG